CCUCCGCGCUGAGUUAGUGAUCGGCCGGAGGCCAUUUACCUUAUUUUUGGAGAUAUGACUAUGUCACUAAGCGCAGAAGCUAAAGCACAGAUCCUGGCUGAUUUCGGUCGUGGCGAG
This is a regulatory RNA element of Ferrimonas balearica DSM 9799, 117 nucleotides long. It matches the Rfam family "Ribosomal S15 leader". From Rfam's summary of the family: The E. coli Ribosomal S15 gene 5' UTR can form two alternative structures. One that is a series of three hairpins, The other includes a pseudoknot. Lineage: Bacteria; Pseudomonadati; Pseudomonadota; Gammaproteobacteria; Alteromonadales; Ferrimonadaceae. The record is from Rfam.